Molecule: ribosomal RNA, 522 nt
Filed under: uncultured bacterium
Lineage: Bacteria
Description: bacterial SSU rRNA
Rfam family: Bacterial small subunit ribosomal RNA
Source: RNAcentral
AAUAGAUACCCGGGUAGUCCACGCCGUAAACGAUGAGUGCUAAGUGUUAGAGGGUUUCCGCCCUUUAGUGCUGCAGCUAACGCAUUAAGCACUCCGCCUGGGGAGUACGGCCGCAAGGCUGAAACUCAAAGGAAUUGACGGGGGCCCGCACAAGCGGUGGAGCAUGUGGUUUAAUUCGAAGCAACGCGAAGAACCUUACCAGGUCUUGACAUCCUCUGCCAACCCUAGAGAUAGGGCGUUCCCCUUCGGGGGACAGAGUGACAGGUGGUGCAUGGUUGUCGUCAGCUCGUGUCGUGAGAUGUUGGGUUAAGUCCCGCAACGAGCGCAACCCUUGAUCUUAGUUGCCAGCAUUCAGUUGGGCACUCUAAGGUGACUGCCGGUGACAAACCGGAGGAAGGUGGGGAUGACGUCAAAUCAUCAUGCCCCUUAUGACCUGGGCUACACACGUGCUACAAUGGAUGGUACAAAGAGCUGCGAACCCGCGAGGGUAAGCCAAUCUUAUAAAGCCAUUCUCAGUUCGGA